This 495-nucleotide ribosomal RNA is filed under the name uncultured bacterium. RNAcentral's name for it is "partial 16S ribosomal RNA". It matches the Rfam family "Bacterial small subunit ribosomal RNA", at positions 28 to 507 of the family's 1533-position model. The record is from RNAcentral.
GACGAACGCUGGCGGCGUGCCUAAUACAUGCAAGUAGAACGCUGAAGGAGGAGCUUGCUUCUCUGGAUGAGUUGCGAACGGGUGAGUAACGCGUAGGUAACCUGCCUGGUAGCGGGGGAUAACUAUUGGAAACGAUAGCUAAUACCGCAUAAGAGUAGAUGUCGCAUGACAUUUGCUUAAAAGGUGCAAUUGCAUCACUACCAGAUGGCCCUGCGUUGUAUUAGCUAGUUGGUGAGGUAACGGCUCACCAAGGCAACGAUACAUAGCCGACCUGAGAGGGUGAUCGGCCACACUGGGACUGAGACACGGCCCAGACUCCUACGGGAGGCAGCAGUAGGGAAUCUUCGGCAAUGGACGGAAGUCUGACCGAGCAACGCCGCGUGAGUGAAGAAGGUUUUCGGAUCGUAAAGCUCUGUUGUAAGAGAAGAACGAGUGUGAGAGUGGAAAGUUCACACUGUGACGGUAUCUUACCAGAAAGGGACGGCUAACUACGUG